UUGUGCUUGAUACUUGUGAUAUCUAAAUAUGUUAGUUGGGUCUGUUUAAAAUGCAGUAACCCACAUGUGAGACAAGCUAAUCGCUAGCGUCGCUAACGGCUACAGUGAGUCAACCGAGCCUUUGUCCCUUUCAAAUGUGCUACUCUGAGUUGGUGAAACCACACACCUGUGUGGGGAACAGCUAAUAGCGAUGGGCCUUCGAUCGGCGACAGGCAGGAAGCGGUGGAUCGAGCUUUUGUCCUGUUGACGUGCUGCCGCUCCUGUUUGUGUGUUGCGUUAGCCGUUAGCAUGCCUUUAGGCCUUUGCACUUUAGAGCUACAGCUGGUCAUCGCUACAAAAAGAACCUGCAGAUGAACGCGGUUAUGUUUAUUACCCCGUCCUGUGUCACAGCCUAAAUCAACUUGUGAUUUGGGGUUAUGUCAUUGUUCUAUCAAAUUCUAACAUGGUUAGUUGGAAUGAUUACUGUGUUGUGUUUCAAGCUUAGUUGCUAAUUAGUCACAUCUCUACAAUACCUGCUGCUUAUCUGGUCAGUUACCGAUAGCUUGUACCAUAGCCAUUAUAUUUGUAGGACCAAUACAAUUUACAGUAAAUGUAACAGUCUUUUCUAUACUGUAGGAGGGCAAAUCCCAGUUGCCCACAUGCAAGGAGGCUGUCAAACAGAGAAAUCACUGCAGACUGUUGGUACACAGACAUCUGCUGCCCAGCUCAGGAGUGAAGUACCUUUUGUUUUGAUGAGGUGAUGGUGAGGACAGCCACAGUCUCCAUCUGGUAGAGGACUGCUUCCGCUCAGUCUUCCAAAUAGUGAUGAGAACAAGGAUCACCACAUCUCCCUGUUUACCCUACUUUCAUGCAUUUCGUCUGCAAGGCCCUGCAAAAGCUUCUCCUUCGUCCUCAAACCCCCAGACUUCUUAAUUAACUCAGUAACCUAUACAUUGCACAUUGGAGUGUGAAGGUAACAGUUUGUUCUAGCUUUGGAGUAGUGGUGCAUUUUUUUGGUUUACAAUAAAGUUGGCUUUAACUAUUA
Long non-coding RNA from Betta splendens (Siamese fighting fish), 1024 nucleotides. RefSeq lists it as uncharacterized. The record is from RefSeq and is a predicted model, not a curated record. The transcript is spliced from 2 exons. NCBI's taxonomy places the organism in Eukaryota, Metazoa, Chordata, Actinopteri, Anabantiformes, Osphronemidae.